RNAcentral lists this ribosomal RNA (330 nucleotides) under uncultured Bacillota bacterium. RNAcentral's name for it is "bacterial SSU rRNA". It matches the Rfam family "Bacterial small subunit ribosomal RNA", at positions 29 to 351 of the family's 1533-position model. Lineage: Bacteria; Bacillati; Bacillota. The record is from RNAcentral.
AACGAACGCUGGCGGCGUGCCUAACACAUGCAAGUCGAGCGAGAAAGUCCCUUCGGGGGCGAGUAGAGCGGCGGACGGGUGAGUAAUACGUGGGCAACCUGCCUGUAAGACUGGGAUAACUUCGGGAAACCGGAGCUAAUACCGGAUAAUUUCUUUCUUCACAUGGAGAAAGGUUGAAAGACGGCUUCGGCUGUCACUUACAGAUGGGCCCGCGGCGCAUUAGCUAGUUGGUGAGGUAACGGCUCACCAAGGCGACGAUGCGUAGCCGACCUGAGAGGGUGAUCGGCCACACUGGGACUGAGACACGGCCCAGACUCCUACGGGAGGCUG